Molecule: long non-coding RNA, 129 nt
Organism: Haliotis rubra (blacklip abalone)
Lineage: Eukaryota; Metazoa; Mollusca; Gastropoda; Lepetellida; Haliotidae
Exons: 3
Source: RefSeq, a predicted model, not a curated record
GAAACCUUCCGUGGAGUGUCAGCUAGGUAACAUCCGCAAGCCCAACGAAGUCAUUCAUGACACAUAUGCGUUUAUGCACAAUGGCGAUCAUGAAACCACCACCCCACCCCCAGAGUCAUUCAUGAAACA